GGGGGGGGGGGGGGGGGGGGGGGGGGGGGGGGGGGGGGGGGGGCGGGCGGGGGGGUUGCUUCGGUGGUGUUGGCGGCGGGCGGGUGCGUGGCAGGUGGCUCACCUACCUAUGAGCCUGGGAUAACUUCGGGAAACCGGAGCUAAUACCGGAUACUAUUUUGAGCCGCAUGGUUCAAAAGUGACAGACGGUCUUGCUGUCACUUCUAGAUUGCUCCGCGCUGCCUUAUAUAGUUGGUCAUGUAACGGUUUCCUAAGGCAACGAUGCAUAGCCGACAUGAGAGGGUGAUCGGCCACACUGGAACUGAGACAAGGUCCAGACUCCUACGGGAGGCAGCAGUAGGGAAUCUUCCGCAAUGGGCGAAAGCCUGACGGAGCAACGCCGCGUGAGUGAUGAAGGUCUUCGGAUCGUAAAACUCUGUUAUUAGGGAAGAACAUAUGUGUAAGUAACUGUGCACAUCUUGACGGUACCUAAUCAGAAAGACACGGCUAACUACGUG
RNAcentral lists this ribosomal RNA (497 nucleotides) under uncultured bacterium. RNAcentral describes it as "partial 16S ribosomal RNA". It matches the Rfam family "Bacterial small subunit ribosomal RNA", at positions 27 to 507 of the family's 1533-position model. The record is from RNAcentral.